UAAAGCGAGCGCAGGCGGAAAAAUAAGUCUAAUGUGAAAGCCCUCGGCUUAACCGAGGAAUUGCAUCGGAAACUGUUUUUCUUGAGUGCAGAAGAGGAGAGUGGAACUCCAUGUGUAGCGGUGGAAUGCGUAGAUAUAUGGAAGAACACCAGUGGCGAAGGCGGCUCUCUGGUCUGCAACUGACGCUGAGGCUCGAAAGCAUGGGUAGCGAACAGGAUUAGAUACCCUGGUAGUCCAUGCCGUAAACGAUGAGUGCUAAGUGUUGGGAGGUUUCCGCCUCUCAGUGCUGCAGCUAACGCAUUAAGUAUUCCGCCUGGGGAGUACGGUCGCAAGAUUAAAACUCAAAGGAAUUGACGGGGGCCCGCACAAGCAGCGGAGCAUGUGGUUUAAUUCGAAGCAACGCGAAGAACCUUACCUAAGCUUGACAUCCUUUUGACCGAUGCCUAAUCGCAUCUUUCCCUUCGGGGACAGAAGUGACAGGUGGUGCAUGGUUGUCGUCAGCUCGUGUCGUGAGAUGUUGGGUUAAGUCCCGCAACGAGCGCAACCCUUGCCUUUAGUUGCCAGCAUUAAGUUGGGCACUCUAGAGGAACUGCCAGGGAUAACCUGGAGGAAGGUGGGGAUGACGUCAAAUCAUCAUGCCCCUUAUGCUUAGGGCUACACACGUGCUACAAUGGGUGGUACAGAGGGCAGCCAAGUCGUGAGGCCGAGCUAAUCCCUUAAAGCCAUUCUCAGUUCGGAUUGUAGGCUGAAACUCGCCUACAUGAAGCUGGAGU
This 773-nucleotide ribosomal RNA is filed under the name uncultured Bacillota bacterium. RNAcentral describes it as "bacterial SSU rRNA". It matches the Rfam family "Bacterial small subunit ribosomal RNA", at positions 561 to 1332 of the family's 1533-position model. The record is from RNAcentral. Lineage: Bacteria; Bacillati; Bacillota.